Molecule: ribosomal RNA, 342 nt
Filed under: Triticum aestivum (bread wheat)
Lineage: Eukaryota; Viridiplantae; Streptophyta; Magnoliopsida; Poales; Poaceae
Description: partial small subunit ribosomal RNA
Source: RNAcentral
AUGCUAGCUUCCAGGGGGCUACUGCCUCUGCAUCCUGAGCUCCUUGCGGAAGUUGCCGAUGAACCUCUCCGUGUUGGCGAACAGCUCCUGCCGACUCAUCGUCACGUCGUCGACCUCAAAAUCAUCCUGCUCCUCUUUCCGUCCCUUUUCCUCUCCGCCGGCCUGGCAGCCGUUCAGCGCGCUGAGGAAGAAGAUGCUCGCCGUCGACGGGCACUUUUUCAGCACCUUCAGCACCACCUCCUUGCUCUUGAUCUUCAGCUCGAUUAUAUUACUCGCCACAAAGGCAGGAACCACCACACGAUCAUAAUCAGCAACCGCCGUCCGGUCGUGAGGACGGGCUGA